Molecule: ribosomal RNA, 300 nt
Filed under: uncultured Meiothermus sp.
Lineage: Bacteria; Thermotogati; Deinococcota; Deinococci; Thermales; Thermaceae
Description: bacterial SSU rRNA
Rfam family: Bacterial small subunit ribosomal RNA
Source: RNAcentral
GAGCAACGCGUUGCCGGGAGCGGGGGUAAGACGGUGGGGUGAAGCGUUAGCCGGAUUUAGUGGGGUUCAAGGGUUCGUAGGCGGGCGCGUAAGUCAGUGGUGAAAGCCUGCAGCUUAACUGUAGAACUGCCGUUGAUACUGCGAGUCUUGAGUAAAUUUGAAGUGGCUGGAAUAAGUAGUGUAGCGGUGAAAUGCAUAGAUAUUACUUAGAACACCAAUUGCGAAGGCAGGUCACUAAGAUUUAACUGACGCUGAUGGACGAAAGCGUGGGGAGCGAACAGGAUUAGAUACCCAGUAGUC